RNAcentral lists this ribosomal RNA (723 nucleotides) under uncultured Enterococcaceae bacterium. Its description in RNAcentral is "bacterial SSU rRNA". It matches the Rfam family "Bacterial small subunit ribosomal RNA", at positions 44 to 738 of the family's 1533-position model. The record is from RNAcentral. Lineage: Bacteria; Bacillati; Bacillota; Bacilli; Lactobacillales; Enterococcaceae.
GUGCCUAAUACAUGCAAGUCGAACGCUUCUUUCCUCCCGAGUGCUUGCACUCAAUUGGAAAGAGGAGUGGCGGACGGGUGAGUAACACGUGGGUAACCUACCCAUCAGAGGGGGAUAACACUUGGAAACAGGUGCUAAUACCGCAUAACAGUUUAUGCCGCAUGGCAUAAGAGUGAAAGGCGCUUUCGGGUGUCGCUGAUGGAUGGACCCGCGGUGCAUUAGCUAGUUGGUGAGGUAACGGCUCACCAAGGCCACGAUGCAUAGCCGACCUGAGAGGGUGAUCGGCCACACUGGGACUGAGACACGGCCCAGACUCCUACGGGAGGCAGCAGUAGGGAAUCUUCGGCAAUGGACGAAAGUCUGACCGAGCAACGCCGCGUGAGUGAAGAAGGUUUUCGGAUCGUAAAACUCUGUUGUUAGAGAAGAACAAGGACGUUAGUAACUGAACGUCCCCUGACGGUAUCUAACCAGAAAGCCACGGCUAACUACGUGCCAGCAGCCGCGGUAAUACGUAGGUGGCAAGCGUUGUCCGGAUUUAUUGGGCGUAAAGCGAGCGCAGUCGGUUUCUUAAGUCUGAUGUGAAAGCCCCCGGCUCAACCGUGGAGGGUCAUUGGAAGCUGGAAAACUUGAGUGCAGAAGAGGAAAGUGGAAUUCCAUGUGUAGCGGUGAAAUGCGCAGAGAUAUGGAGGAACACCAGUGGCGAAGGCGACUCUCUGGUCUGUA